RNAcentral lists this ribosomal RNA (1461 nucleotides) under marine metagenome. Its description in RNAcentral is "bacterial SSU rRNA". It matches the Rfam family "Bacterial small subunit ribosomal RNA". The record is from RNAcentral.
UUUGAUCCUGGCUCAGGAUGAACGCUGGCGGCGUGCUUAACACAUGCAAGUCGAACGAACCUUCGGGUUAGUGGCGGACGGGUGAGUAACGCGUGGGAAUCUGCCCUCAGGAGGGGGAUAACGGCUGGAAACGGCCGCUAAUACCCCAUAUGCCGAGAGGUGAAAUGAAUUUCGCCUGAGGAUGAGCCCGCGUCUGAUUAGCUAGUUGGUGAGGUAAGAGCUCACCAAGGCAUCGAUCAGUAGCUGGUCUGAGAGGAUGAUCAGCCACACUGGGACUGAGACACGGCCCAGACUCCUACGGGAGGCAGCAGUGGGGAAUUUUCCGCAAUGGGCGAAAGCCUGACGGAGCAACGCCGCGUGAGGGAUGAAGGCCUCUGGGCUGUAAACCUCUUUUCUCAAGGAAGAAGAUCUGACGGUACUUGAGGAAUAAGCCACGGCUAAUUCCGUGCCAGCAGCCGCGGUAAUACGGGAGUGGCAAGCGUUAUCCGGAAUUAUUGGGCGUAAAGCGUCCGCAGGCGGCCUUUCAAGUCUGCUGUUAAAACGUGGAGCUUAACUCCAUCAUGGCAGUGGAAACUGUUGGGCUUGAGUGUGGUAGGGGCAGAGGGAAUUCCCGGUGUAGCGGUGAAAUGCGUAGAUAUCGGGAAGAACACCAGUGGCGAAGGCGCUCUGCUGGGCCAUAACUGACGCUCAUGGACGAAAGCCAGGGGAGCGAAAGGGAUUAGAUACCCCUGUAGUCCUGGCCGUAAACGAUGAACACUAGGUGUCGGGGGAAUCGACCCCCUCGGUGUCGUAGCCAACGCGUUAAGUGUUCCGCCUGGGGAGUACGCACGCAAGUGUGAAACUCAAAGGAAUUGACGGGGGCCCGCACAAGCGGUGGAGUAUGUGGUUUAAUUCGAUGCAACGCGAAGAACCUUACCAGGGUUUGACAUCCUGCGAAUCUCUUGGAAACGAGAGAGUGCCCUCGGGAACGCAGUGACAGGUGGUGCAUGGCUGUCGUCAGCUCGUGUCGUGAGAUGUUGGGUUAAGUCCCGCAACGAGCGCAACCCACGUCUUUAGUUGCCAGCAUUUAGUUGGGCACUCUAGAGAGACCGCCGGUGAUAAACCGGAGGAAGGUGUGGAUGACGUCAAGUCAUCAUGCCCCUUACAUCCUGGGCUACACACGUACUACAAUGCUACGGACAAAGAGCAGCAAGUUCGCGAGGACAAGCAAAUCUCAUAAACCGUGGCUCAGUUCAGAUCGUAGGCUGCAACUCGCCUACGUGAAGGAGGAAUCGCUAGUAAUCGCAGGUCAGCAUACUGCGGUGAAUACGUUCCCGGGCCUUGUACACACCGCCCGUCACACCAUGGAAGUUGGCCACGCCCGAAGCCGUUACUCCAACCCUUGUGGAGGAGGACGUCGAAGGUGGGGCUGAUGACUGGGGUGAAGUCGUAACAAGGUAGCCGUACCGGAAGGUGCGGCUG